RNAcentral lists this ribosomal RNA (115 nucleotides) under Myotis brandtii (Brandt's bat). The record is from RNAcentral. Lineage: Eukaryota; Metazoa; Chordata; Mammalia; Chiroptera; Vespertilionidae.
GUCUACGGCCAUACCACCCUGAACGCGCCCGAUCUCGUCUGAUCUCGGAAGCUAAGCAGGGUCGGGCCUGGUUAGUACUUGGAUGGGAGAGAGAAACAUCAAUCAGCUGCCUCCU